CAUAUUUUUAGCUCGCCACACCAUAGCAUGAUCUAUGACCACGAUCGUACUUCGCCACGAUGAUCCUAGAAUAUCCUAUGUGUUUUCGGGGCAUCAUCCACAGGAAGUGGUCAUCUCACGUCUUUCAAACAAGGUAGGAACAACAGAAAUAGAUAAAAUUGUCUAACAUAUUAAUUCAUGUUUCAUGUAUCCAUUCUUGUUUUUCAUGCCAUGUCAACAAUUUCGUGUAAUCUCUUGUCGUAUCAAUUGCAUUUCAACUAAGCCUUUACACGAUGCAUAAAAACAAUCGUCACAAUUAAUAUCUCAUCACACCCUUAAAAUCAUGCCACAAUCACAAAAUAAAAUUAAUA
This 350-nucleotide long non-coding RNA is filed under the name Carica papaya (papaya). RNAcentral's name for it is "long non-coding RNA (CPAP_LNC003117)". Lineage: Eukaryota; Viridiplantae; Streptophyta; Magnoliopsida; Brassicales; Caricaceae. The record is from RNAcentral.